This 543-nucleotide ribosomal RNA is filed under the name uncultured bacterium. Its description in RNAcentral is "bacterial SSU rRNA". It matches the Rfam family "Bacterial small subunit ribosomal RNA", at positions 1 to 523 of the family's 1533-position model. The record is from RNAcentral.
GGUCUCGCGAAUCUCUAGAUUAGAGUUUGAUCAUGGCUCAGACNUGAACGCUGGCGGCANGCUUAACACAUGCAAGUCGAGCGGGGAAGGGUAGCUUGCUACCUAACCUAGCGGCGGACGGGUGAGUAAUGCUUAGGAAUCUGCCAUUUAGUGGGGGACAACAUUCCGAAAGGAAUGCUAAUACCGCAUACGUCCUACGGGAGAAAGCAGGGGAUCUUCGGACCUUGCGCUAAAUGAUGAGCCUAAGUCGGAUUAGCUAGUUGGUGGGGUAAAGGCCUACCAAGGCGACGAUCUGUAGCGGGUCUGAGAGGAUGAUCCGCCACACUGGGACUGAGACACGGCCCAGACUCCUACGGGAGGCAGCAGUGGGGAAUAUUGGACAAUGGGCGGAAGCCUGAUCCAGCCAUGCCGCGUGUGUGAAGAAGGCCUUUUGGUUGUAAAGCACUUUAAGCGAGGAGGAGGCUCUCCUAGUUAUACCUAGGAUUGAGUGGACGUUACUCGCAGAAUAAGCACCGGCUAACUCUGUGCCAGCAGCCGCGGUGA